CACGUAGUUAGCCGUGGCUUUCUCAUAAGGUACCGUCAAUUGAUAGUCAUUUCCUCCUAUCACCUUUCUUCCCUUAUAACAGAAUUUUACAACCCGAAGGCCUUCUUCAUUCACGCGGCGUUGCUCGGUCAGGCUUUCGCCCCAUUGCCGAAGAUUCCCUACUGCUGCCUCCCGUAGGAGUCUGGGCCGUGUCUCAGUCCCAGUGUGGCCGUUCACCCUCUCAGGUCGGCUACGCAUCGUCGCCUUGGUAGGCCUUUACCCCACCAACUAGCUAAUGCGCCGCAGGCUCAUCCAUCAGUGAUGCCAGGAGCAUCUUUAAACUUUCGUCCUAUCCGGUAUUAGCGAUCGUUUCCAAUCGUUGUCCCCGUCUGAUGGGCAGAUCACCUACGUGUUACUCACCCGUUCGCCGCUUCCCACCGAAGUGGUUCGCUCGACUUGCAUGUAUUAGGCACGCCGCCAGCGUUCAUCCUGAGCCAGGAUCAAACUC
This 487-nucleotide ribosomal RNA is filed under the name uncultured Turicibacter sp. RNAcentral describes it as "partial 16S ribosomal RNA". Lineage: Bacteria; Bacillati; Bacillota; Erysipelotrichia; Erysipelotrichales; Turicibacteraceae. The record is from RNAcentral.